AUGCUCUCCACGUCCACGGCCCUAUUUUCUUUCACCAAACCCUCCUGCGAGCAAAAAAAACCUCCACUGCCGAAAUCCUCUCCGGCUCUCCCCCUUCCUGCGAUGGCCGGCGGCGGCGGUUCCCCUUCCCCGGCGGCGGCCGCCCCCGCGGCCGUCCAGGUGCGCUGCGCCGGCUGCCGCGGCGUCCUCGCCGUGGCCCCCGGCAUGACCGAGUUCAUCUGCCCCAAAUGCCGCAUGGCGCAGCGCCUUCCCCCGGAGCUCAUGCCCUCCUCCUCCCCGCCCAAGGCGUCCCCUACCCCGCCUCCGCCCCAGCCCCCUCCCCUUCCUCCUCAGCCUCACUCUCAGCCGGCGCCUCCCCCUCCGCCUCUCCCUGCUGCUUCCCGCCGCUCCGGGCCGCGGGCGCAGGGCGUGGACCCCACCAAGAUCCAGCUGCCCUGCGCGCGCUGCAAGGCCAUCCUCAACGUGCCGCACGGCCUCGCCCGCUUCCGCUGCCCGCAGUGCGACGUCGACCUCGCCGUCGACAUCUCCAAGCUCCAGCAUUUCCUUGCCGCCGCCGCCCCUGGGCCGGGCUUCGUUCCUCCACCGCCUCCGCCCGCGCCCCCAGUCCCAAUGCCGCACAUGCCCUUCCUACCGAUGAUGCCGCCGCCGCGCAUGCCGAUGGCCCCAAUGGUCCCGCCGCCCGAGCCGCCGGAGGAGAUCAACGAGGUUGCGUUUGACGUUGAGCGCGAGGAAGACGAAGGUGACACUGUUGGUGAAACUUUCAUGGACUAUAGGCCUCCUAAGCUGUCUCUUGGUCUUCCUCAUCCGGACCCUGUGGUAGAGACUUCAUCUUUAUCAGCGGUGCAGCCUCCUGAACCUACUUACAGCCUGGCUAUUAUGGAUGAAUUGGAUGAGACCAGGGCAUUGUCAUGCUUACAGAUUGAGACAAUAGUGUAUGCUUGUCAGAGGCAUCUUCACCAUCUCCCUACUGGUGCUAGAGCAGGUUUCUUCAUCGGUGAUGGAGCCGGUGUUGGUAAAGGGCGUACAAUUGCUGGAUUGAUCUGGGAGAAUUGGCAACAGGGGAGGCAUAAGGCAUUGUGGAUUUCCAUUGGUUCAGACUUGAAAUAUGAUGCCCGCAGAGAUCUGGAUGAUGUUGGUGCAAAAUGUGUGCAAGUGCACGCGUUGAACAAGCUGCCAUAUUCUAAGUUAGACUCAAAGGCCACUGGGAUCACAGACGGAGUUGUUUUUGUAACUUAUAGCAGUUUAAUAGCAUCCUCUGAGAAAGGGUAUUCACGUUUGCGGCAGCUGGUAGAGUGGUGUGGAUCUGAGUACGAUGGUCUUGUGGUGUUUGAUGAGUGCCACAAGGCUAAAAAUCUGAUUCCUGAGGCAGGAGGUCAGCCCACUCGCACUGGUAAAUCAGUUCUUGAGAUCCAGGAAAUGUUACCUGAAGCUCGAGUGGUUUACUGCUCAGCAACUGGUGCAUCAGAGCCUCGGAAUUUAGGCUACAUGGUCCGGCUUGGUCUCUGGGGGGACGGAACAUCAUUUCAGAGUUUUCACCAAUUUCUAGGUGCUCUUGAGAAAGGUGGUGUGGGUGCCCUUGAACUUGUUGCUAUGGACAUGAAAGCUAGGGGCAUGUAUGUUUGCCGCACACUUAGUUAUAAGGGUGUUGAUUUUGAUGUUGUGGAGGCACCUCUAGAGGACAGAAUGAUGAAUAUGUACAGAAAGGCAGCUGAAUUUUGGGCUGAGUUACGUGUUGAGCUCCUAUCGGCAAAUGAGUACUAUGCAGAAGACAAGAGCAAUUCGGCUCAGAUAUGGCGGUUAUACUGGGCCAGCCAUCAGCGUUUCUUUAGGCAUAUGUGUAUGUCUGCAAAGGUACCUGCUGUUGUGAAGUUGGUGAAGGAAGCCUUAGCAGAAGAAAGAUGUGUGGUGGUUGGUCUCCAGAGCACUGGUGAAGCUCGAACAGAGGAAGCUAUCACAAAAUAUGGUGUUGAAAUGGAAGACUUCAUUUCUGGCCCUAGAGAGUUGCUUCUUAAGCUGGUAGAAGAUAACUAUCCCUUGCCUCCAAAACCUGAUUGUUCUCAGCAAGGUGAAGACAAGGUUACGGAGGUCCAGCGUAAGCGGCAUUAUGGACCCGAUGUAUCCUUAAAAGGACGAGUUAGGAAACUCGCAAAAAUGGAAGAUAGUGAUGAUGGAAUGGAUGCGCACUCUCCAUUGGAGUCAGACCAUGAAUUAACAGAUUCUGAAGAGGAAUUGCAUAUGUGUCAGAUCUGCAAUACCGAGGAGGAGAAGAGCCUGUUGCUUCAUUGUUCCAAUUGUGCUACAAGUGUUCACCCUGGCUGUCCAAUUCCACCAUGGACUGGAACGUUGACAGAUGAUUGGUUAUGUUAUGCAUGCAAGGAGAUAAUAGAAGGCUAUUUUAAAGAGAGAGAUGCUUACAUGGCUGAACUAUCAAAGAGAUAUGACAGUGCAGUGGACAGGAAGUCAAAGAUUUUAGAAAUCAUCCGUGCUUUAGAUUUGCCUAAUAAUCCUCUAGAUGAUAUCAUUGAUCAGCUAGGUGGUCCAGACAAUGUUGCAGAAAUAACUGGAAGGCGUGGCAUGCUAAUAAGAGCAUCAGAUGGAAAAGGUGUUGUUUACCAGGCGCGGAACACGAAAGAAAUUGCAUUGGACAUGAUCAAUAUGCAUGAAAAGCAGCUAUUCAUGGACGGAGAAAAGUUCAUCGCAAUAAUAUCGGAAGCAGGAUCAGCUGGUGUUUCCUUACAUGCUGAUCGAAGGGUAAAAAAUCAGAGAAGAAGAGUACACAUAACACUUGAACUUCCUUGGAGUGCAGACCGUGCAACCCAGCAGUUUGGGAGAACACAUCGUUCUAAUCAAACUUCUGCACCUGUAUAUAGGAUUCUUUUUACCAACCUUGGUGGUGAAAAACGAUUUGCAUCAAUUGUGGCAAAGCGACUAGAGUCUCUUGGAGCUUUAACACAAGGAGAUCGAAGAGCUGGACCAUCACUUAGUGCUUUUAACUAUGACAGCAGUUAUGGAAAAAAGGCCCUGACAUUGAUGUACAGGGGUAUAAUGGAACAGGAUGCAUUUCCAGUUGUGCCUUUGGGAUGCUCUGAGAAUCAAUCUAGUCUCCAAGAAUUCAUCACUAGAUCAAAAGCUGCGUUAGUGGCAGUUGGAAUUAUCAGGGAUGCUGUAAUCUGCAUUGGAAAACAUGGAGGAAAGCUUACUGGUAGGAUUGUUGAUUCUGAUAUGCAUGAUGUGGCCCGUUUCCUCAACCGUAUUCUGGGAUUAGCUCCAAACAUCCAGAAUAGGUUAUUUGAUCUCUUCACAAGCAUACUCGACGUAGUAAUUCAGAAUGCACGAAGUGAAGGACGGCUUGAUUCUGGUAUUGUUGAUAUUAAAGCAAAAAGGGUUGAAAUGAAAGAACCGCCGAAGACAGUUCACGUUGAUAGCCUAUCUGGUGCUUCCACGGUAUUGUUCACUCUUACAAUUGACCGGGGAGUUACUUGGGAGUCGGCUAAGGCAAUGCUUGAAGAAAGGCAGAAAGAUGGUGCGUGUUCUUCUAAUGAAGGGUUUUACGAGUCCCGGAGAGAGUGGAUGGGCAGAAGGCAUUUCAUACUAGCGUUUGAAGGCUCAACGGAAGGAAUGUACAGAGUAACUCGCCCUGCCGUUGGGGAAGCUUCGAAGGAGAUGCCUUUGGCUGAACUAGAAGGAAAGUACAAGAAGGCCUCAUCGUCUGGCAAAACUGGGGAAGGCUGGCAGGAAGAAUAUGAUGUGUCGUCCAAGCAGUGCAUGCAUGGGCCCAAGUGCAGACUUGGAAGCGAUUGUACUGUGGGCAGAAGGUUACAGGAGAUUAAUGUUUUGGGUGGUCUAAUACUUCCUGUGUGGGGCGCGGUAGAAAAGGCCCUGAAUAAGCAGGCCCGACAGGCUCACAAGAGGAUACGUGUCGUACGCCUGGAGACAACAGAUGACAACCAUCGGAUUGUUGGGCUAGUCAUUCCAAACACAGCAGUCGAGUCAGUGUUAGAAGGUCUGCAGUGGGUCCAGGACAUCGACGAAUGA
Molecule: ribosomal RNA, 4035 nt
Filed under: Triticum aestivum (bread wheat)
Lineage: Eukaryota; Viridiplantae; Streptophyta; Magnoliopsida; Poales; Poaceae
Description: partial small subunit ribosomal RNA
Source: RNAcentral